CCAUACUCCCAUCUGUCAUGGCAGCUGCAGCAAGCCUCACCCAAGGAGAGUCUGGCUGGAGGCCAAACAACACAAAACCAGCACACUUAACAAAAAUAUAACCAAUGACCCUCGCAGAGUCCACUUAACUCCCCUCCACCAGAGCAGGUGCUGGUAUCCACAGCUGAGAGACCUGAAGAUGGAUCACAUCACAGGACUCCUUGCAGACAUUCUCCAGUACCAGCCCAGAGCCUGGGAAGAUGCAACAGGAAGGUCCUCACAAGAUGGCUGAGCAGAUGCAGGUGCUGUGCCUCUGGACUGCCUAGCCUCCAGAACCUACUCGAGAAAGCCUGGCUCAGAGCCUCAGAGCUGCCCACUGGACCCACAGCUGAUCGUAGAUGCAUGUGUGAGCCCAACCAGAACCAGAAGAUCUCCCGGCAGACCCAUAGACUCAGGAAAAAUAAAAAAGGUUACUGCUUAA
This is a long non-coding RNA of Pan troglodytes (chimpanzee), 460 nucleotides long. RefSeq lists it as uncharacterized. The record is from RefSeq and is a predicted model, not a curated record. The transcript has 3 exons. Lineage: Eukaryota; Metazoa; Chordata; Mammalia; Primates; Hominidae.